GAUGAACGCUGGCGGCGUGCCUAAUACAUGCAAGUCGAGCGAACGGACGAGAAGCUUGCUUCUCUGAUGUUAGCGGCGGACGGGUGAGUAACACGUGGAUAACCUACCUAUAAGACUGGGAUAACUUCGGGAAACCGGAGCUAAUACCGGAUAAUAUUUUGAACCGCAUGGUUCAAAAGUGAAAGACGGUCUUGCUGUCACUUAUAGAUGGAUCCGCGCUGCAUUAGCUAGUUGGUAAGGUAACGGCUUACCAAGGCAACGAUGCAUAGCCGACCUGAGAGGGUGAUCGGCCACACUGGAACUGAGACACGGCACAGACUCCUACGGGAGGCAGCAGUAGGGAAUCUUCCGCAAUGGGCGAAAGCCUGACGGAGCAACGCCGCGUGAGUGAUGAAGGUCUUCGGAUCGUAAAACUCUGUUAUUAGGGAAGAACAUAUGUGUAAGUAACUGUGCACAUCUUGACGUUACCUAAUCAGAAAGCCACGGCUAACUACGUG
This 497-nucleotide ribosomal RNA is filed under the name uncultured bacterium. RNAcentral describes it as "partial 16S ribosomal RNA". It matches the Rfam family "Bacterial small subunit ribosomal RNA", at positions 28 to 507 of the family's 1533-position model. The record is from RNAcentral.